RNAcentral lists this ribosomal RNA (1498 nucleotides) under uncultured bacterium. Its description in RNAcentral is "16S ribosomal RNA". It matches the Rfam family "Bacterial small subunit ribosomal RNA". The record is from RNAcentral.
UAGAGUUUGAUCAUGGCUCAGGAUGAACGCUAGCGACAGGCUUAACACAUGCAAGUCGAGGGGCAGCGGGGAGGUAGCAAUACUUCCGCCGGCGACCGGCGCACGGGUGAGUAACACGUAUGGAACCUGCCCGUAGCAGGGGGAUAAGCGGAAGAAAUUCCGUCUAAUACCGCGUAAUAACUCCGAGAGGCAUCUCAUGGAGUUUAAAGGGUAACACCGGCUACGGAUGGCCAUGCGGCGCAUUAGCUAGUUGGCGGGGUAACGGCCCACCAAGGCGACGAUGCGUAGGGGUUCUGAGAGGAAGGUCCCCCACACUGGUACUGAGACACGGACCAGACUCCUACGGGAGGCAGCAGUGAGGAAUAUUGGUCAAUGGGCGCGAGCCUGAACCAGCCAAGUCGCGUGAGGGAAGACGGUCCUAUGGAUUGUAAACCUCUUUUGUCGGGGAGCAAAAGACGCCACGUGUGGCGUUCCGAGAGUACCCGAAGAAAAAGCAUCGGCUAACUCCGUGCCAGCAGCCGCGGUAAUACGGAGGAUGCGAGCGUUAUCCGGAUUUAUUGGGUUUAAAGGGUGCGCAGGCGGAAGAUCAAGUCAGCGGUAAAAUUGAGAGGCUCAACCUCUUCGAGCCGUUGAAACUGGUUUUCUUGAGUGAGCGAGAAGUAUGCGGAAUGCGUGGUGUAGCGGUGAAAUGCAUAGAUAUCACGCAGAACUCCGAUUGCGAAGGCAGCAUACCGGCGCUCAACUGACGCUCAUGCACGAAAGUGUGGGUAUCGAACAGGAUUAGAUACCCUGGUAGUCCACACAGUAAACGAUGAAUACUAAUUGUUCGGGGAGAAUGAUCCCUGAGUGAUACAGCGAAAGCGUUAAGUAUUCCACCUGGGGAGUACGCCGGCAACGGUGAAACUCAAAGGAAUUGACGGGGGCCCGCACAAGCGGAGGAACAUGUGGUUUAAUUCGAUGAUACGCGAGGAACCUUACCCGGGCUCAAACGACACAGGAAUACUUUUGAAAGGAGGUAGCUCUACGGAGUCUGUGUCGAGGUGCUGCAUGGUUGUCGCCAGCUCGUGCCGUGAGGUGUCGGCUUAAGUGCCAUAACGAGCGCAACCCCCAUCGCCAGUUACCAGCAAGUCAAGUUGGGGACUCUGGCGAGACUGCCGGCGCAAGCUGUGAGGAAGGCGGGGAUGACGUCAAAUCAGCACGGCCCUUACGUCCGGGGCGACACACGUGUUACAAUGGCAGGUACAGAGAGAAGCAAUGCGGCGACGCAAAGCGGAACUUGAAAGCCUGUCUCAGUUCGGAUUGGAGUCUGCAACUCGACUCCAUGAAGCUGGAUUCGCUAGUAAUCGCGCAUCAGCCAUGGCGCGGUGAAUACGUUCCCGGGCCUUGUACACACCGCCCGUCAAGCCAUGGAAGCCGGGAGUGCCUGAAGUGUGCAACCGCAAGGAGCGCCCUAAGGUAAAACUGGUGACUGGGGCUAAGUCGUAACAAGGUAGCCGUA